Molecule: ribosomal RNA, 484 nt
Filed under: uncultured bacterium
Lineage: Bacteria
Description: partial 16S ribosomal RNA
Rfam family: Bacterial small subunit ribosomal RNA
Source: RNAcentral
AUUGAACGCUGUCGGCAGGCCUAACACAUGCAAGUCGAGCGUCUUUUGUGAGCUUGCUCCUGGUUUCAGCGGCGUACGGGUGCGUCAUGCCUAGGAAUCUGCCUCGUAGUGUGGAAUAACGUCCCUACACGGGCCCUACUACCUCAUACCUCCUGACUUCGAUCGUCUGGGGCCUUCGGCCCUCACCCCUUCACAUGAGCCUUAGUCUCAUUAGCUAGUUGCUGGGGUAAAGGCCUAACAAGGCGUCGAUCCGUAACGGGUCUGAGAGGAGGAUCAGGCACACGGGAAGUGGGACAACGUCCAGACUCCUGCGGGAGGCAGCAGUCGGGAAUAUGGGACAAUGGGCGAAGGCCUGAACCAGCCAUGCCGCAAGUGGGAAGAAGGUCUUCGGAUGGUAAAGCACAUUAAGUUGGGAGGAAGCGCAGUAAGUUAAUACCUUCCUGUUUUGACGAUACCAAGAGAAUAAGCACCGGCUAACUUCGUG